Megachile rotundata (alfalfa leafcutting bee) is the source of this 3161-nucleotide long non-coding RNA. Lineage: Eukaryota; Metazoa; Arthropoda; Insecta; Hymenoptera; Megachilidae. The record is from RefSeq and is a predicted model, not a curated record.
UAUGCUCUUUCUUUUUUUAAUAAUGAUUCUGGUCAUUGCCACGUGUGUGCGAAAUGAUGAAACUCUCGGACCUAACCUCAAAUGUUAAGGUUAAGGCACGCGUAGUAACCGCUUUCGAUUGAUACUUUGUACGGUGAAAUCGAGAAGAAAAGUGUGUUUCAAAGAGUCUGUGUCACGUUUGCAUGAUGUAACAUCUAAUGCGGUCGGUGAUAUUGCACGGUGCGCUUAUCUCCAUUGCCGUUUGUAUUAAAUGGUCCAUGGCAGGCAUAAGCGGUGUUCGAGAAGUUUAGGGCGUAUGAUUCUUUAGCACAAUCGAUACUGUAGACACAGGGACCAUGAUCGCCAUAAUUAUUGCAAAGAAGAAAUAUUCCCUUAUCAUUUCGUCAUCUUAUCACUGUCAUCUGAAGCUAGGUACAGAGAACGAUCGUUUUACGGGGAAGCAUGGCGGGUGUAAUGCGGAAAGGGGCCGAUUUUUCUAUGUUUCAAAAUCGUUUGAAGGAUGCUGAUGUACAAGGCAUUUUAAAGUUAUUAAUAAUACAAAGUAUUUUAAACAUGCUAAAUGUAUUACAUAAUGUGUAGCAUACGUACAUAGUAUAUAUACAUAUGUUCGAUCUCUGUACUAUAUCUAAUUGCCACUACAUGUACAUGUAGAUCCAUAUAUCCUCUGUAUAUAGGUCUGUAGAAUUCUAGAUGUCUACAUUUCUAUAUUCUUGUAUCUCUACAUCCAUUCUACUGUAUAGGAUACCAUAAGAGGAGAUAUAAGAACUGUUAGGUCAUUUUCCUUACAUAUUCAUGUGACUUGUAUGUGUGGCUGCUGUAAUUAUUUUGCAACCAUACAUGUAAAAUGAGGAAUACGUUCAUUGUUUUAAUAGUUUUGUUUUAAAACUCAUCCUCCAGUGAGUUAUCCUUAAAUCUCUACAUUUUUAUAUUUUUAUAUCUCUACAUAUAAAUGCAAUUUUUAUUAUAUAUCUUCCUACAUAUGUAUGUACAUAAAGUACGUAAUAACUUCGCGAUAAUUGUAUGAAAUUUUAAUAUUUUAAUGUUGAUAUUUUAUCAGUAUUUAGAACAUACGUUUUGUGAAAUAAUUAUCACAUCGACUUCCACAUCUUCCAAACGUAGUUCCCGAGGCUUGUUAUAAUUAGCACCGUUUCCAUCGUAUCGACAAAAUUUCAUUUAGAUGAACUACCGGGGUUAAACAAUGUGAACGGUCGUUGAACCCAUACAUUUUCUAGGAACGGAAAAUAAAAGAACGGAAGGCGGUCCAUAAUGUCACGAGGGUUGGUCACAUGUCCAGUCUCGUGUUGAUCGCCGCAAGAAUUCCAUCGAGCGAAUCGUUCGACUUCCCAGCUUAAUAGGGUCAAAUACGAAAUAAUUAAGCUUAAUGCAUUCGACGGCGAAAUUCGUUGAUUAUUUUAUAUCGUUGUUUUUUUACAUGGAACAUUCUUUUUCUUAUUGGAACGUUCUGUAUUAUCGGUCGAGUGUUAUUUUCUUUAUAAGAACGAUAAUCAAUGUUAUGAAAUAUGCGAUAAGCGUGAACCCUUUCAUACUCGAUUUUAUUACACUUCAUGCUGCAUAAAUACUGAAUUUCGGGUGGAAGAGUUUAUUGCGUUAUAUCAGGUUUUUUUAGUUUUACAAACAUUCUGACAUGUAUUUUAUACUGCAAAAUUAAGUUUUAAUAUAUGUUUUUUAUUUCUCUGUGGAAUAAUAAUUAUGUGUAUGUAUUGUAACGAGAGUGUAUUGUAACGAGACUGUAAUGUAAUGCGACUGUAUUGUAACGAGACUGUAAUGUAAUGAGACUGUAGUGUAAGAAGACUGUGCUGUAACAAGACUGUAAUGUAACAAGACUGUAAUGUAACGAGACUGUAUUGUAACGAGACUGUAAUGUAAUGCGACUGUAUUGUAACGAGACUGUAAUGUAAUGAGACUGUAGUGUAAGGAGACUGUAAUACAAUGCGACUGAAAUGCAACGAGACUAUGCUGUAACAAGACUGUAAUGUAACGAGACUAUAUUAUAACGAGACUAUAUUGUAACGAGACUAUAUUGUAACGAGACUAUAUUGUAACGAGACUAUAUUGUAACGAGACUAUAAUAUAACGAGACUGUAUCGUAGCAAAACUGUAAUAUAACGAGACUAUAUUGUAACAAGACUAUAUUGUAACGAGACUAUAAUAUAACGAGACUGUAUCGUAGCGAGACUAUAUUGUAACGGGACUAUAUUGUAACGAGACUAUAUUGUAACGAGACUAUAUUGUAACGAGACUAUAUUGUAACGACACUAUAUUAUAACGAGACUAUAUUGUAACCAGACUAUAUUGUAACCAGACUAUAUUGUAACGAGACUGUAUUGUAACGAGAGUAUAAUAUAACGAGACUGUAUCGUAGCGAGACUGUAAUAUAACGAGACUGCAUUCUAACAAACUGCAAGGAACUAGUCAGCUCCUUUUGGCCAAUAAACACGUCGCGAAGGAAUCCGCCAAAGCAAAACUAAUUGGUUAAAGAACAUUGUCCGAAACGUUAAACGAGCAAGACACCUGUUGUACUCGGUAACCGAGCGCGGGAAAUAAAGUCAUUAAAAGACACCCCUAUCGAUCGUUGAAAAUUGACUCGAUAAGACCAUACCCGAUGACCUUGCAAUUCAGUAAGCGAUAAUCAAGACACUAUACCAUGUAACUUAAACAAAAAAUACCCAAGUCAUCAAAAUUUCUGCUGACGUAAUUUAAUGCACUCUUUCAUAAUUUCGGAGAAUAAGUAAUUUAUCUUAUAUUAGUCCGUUCCGUAUAAUAUAUCGGUGAUAGGCAGUUAUGGUCGCGAGAAAGGUACUGCAACGUAAUCGCUAUUCAGGAUACUCGAUGUCGAGCAAACACCGUAUAAAACAUUCCGUUCCUGCAUGAGUUGUCUGCAUGCCAUCGAGAAAACAUUAUUGUUUUAAGUCAACAUUCGUGAAUCAGGAACACGUAUGUAAAUCUUAUCAUGAAUCGUAUAACAAAUACAAGUGUUUUAAACUUGACGGUGCAGUUGGAAUCACAAGAAACUGCAAUGCUGCAAAAAUUUCGAAGGAAAACAUGAUUCGUAAACAGUGAAUGUGCGUUGAAUCGGAGGUGGAUUUUUGGGAGAAAUUUGAGGAUUGGAAAUUGCGGAUUUGGGGAUUUGGGAUCUGAGA